AGCAGCCGCGGUAAUUCCAGCUCCAAUAGCGUAUAUUAAAGUUGUUGCAGUUAAAAAGCUCGUAGUUGAAUUUCGGGAUCGAAUUGUUGGUCGUGCUUCGGUACGCACUGGCAUUAUCGGUUUCUACCUUCUGAAGAACCGCGAUGUCAUUAAUUUGGUGUCGUGGGGAAUCAGGACUGUUACUUUGAAAAAAUUAGAGUGUUUAAAGCAGGCUUACGCUUGAAUACAUUAGCAUGGAAUAAUGAAAUAGGACGUUUGAUUCUAUUUUGUUGGUUUCUAGGAUCGACGUAAUGAUUAAUAGGGAUAGUUGGGGGCAUUAGUAUUCAAUUGUCAGAGGUGAAAUUCUUGGAUUUAUUGAAGACUAACUACUGCGAAAGCAUUUGCCAAGGAUGUUUUCAUUAAUCAAGAACGAAAGUUAGGGGAUCGAAGACGAUCAGAUACCGUCGUAGUCUUAACCAUAAACUAUGCCGACUAGGGAUCGGAUGAUGUUAAUUUUUUAAUGACCC
RNAcentral lists this ribosomal RNA (506 nucleotides) under uncultured Glomeromycotina. RNAcentral describes it as "SSU rRNA". It matches the Rfam family "Eukaryotic small subunit ribosomal RNA", at positions 569 to 1080 of the family's 1831-position model. The record is from RNAcentral. Lineage: Eukaryota; Fungi; Glomeromycota.